This 734-nucleotide long non-coding RNA is filed under the name Panax ginseng (ginseng). RNAcentral describes it as "long non-coding RNA (PGIN_LNC011090)". The record is from RNAcentral. Lineage: Eukaryota; Viridiplantae; Streptophyta; Magnoliopsida; Apiales; Araliaceae.
CAUGCUUCUAUUGGAAAAUUUGUUGUUAGCUAUUUUGAUGGUAGAAUCAUUUUUAUCAUAAACUAUGGAGGAUAUUUGAUUUAUGUUGAGUUAGUUUAUGAUCAUGAUAUAUAUUCUCGUUUUUGAUGUUUUUACUUGCAUGAAAUUAAUUCUAGGUUUUGUUGUCUAGAUAUUGACUUAGGGUUUCAUGCUAGUCAAUCUUUACAUGAAUUGUCGUUAGUUGACAAUGGUAGUAAUCAUGUUGUUUCGUUGGAGCAAUCUUCAUUGCAUGAUUUGCUAUCAUAUGGUUUUGAUUCAAGAAGUGUUUAUCAUCAAGAUGGUUUGAGAGAUGAGUUAUUUGCAUGUUUAGUUAGUUCACUUAGAUUAGCUAAGGCAUUGCAUACUUCCAUGGAAUUGUUGAAUUAUAUUUUGAAUUCUUUCAUGGGAAAAUUUGUUAUUCUCUAUUUUGAUGAUAUUUCGAUUUUUGUCAACACUUUGGGAAAUUCUUUAGCAUGUGUUGAGUUUGUUUGUGAUCAUCGUCGAUAUGCUAUUGAAUUUUCAACUUAUGAUUGUGACCUUUUUAUUCCGUUGGUGCUAUUAUGUGAUUUUGAUUGUGUUAAUGUCAAUGGAAGGAGAAAGGUUGGUUGUGUUUUGCAGAUUCGUGAUAGGAUCAUAUUCAUCGAGGGAAACAUGGAUCGUGCAAUUCAAUUCGAUCAAUGCAUUGAGAGUUUACAGGGAAGUGUUUUGAAUAUUAU